AGAAAUAGGCUCAGUCUUAUUCCACAUGCCCCACUUCAGCUAUAGGAGCAAAGAGCCAUUUCCAGCUAGUUAUAAACCCAGCAUAGAGGGGAAAAUAAAUCAUGUUUCGGUGCUGUUAUUCUCUAAAGAAAACAAGUGGCCUAAUCCUGCACCUGCAGUUGUGACUGAACUCAGCACAAGCAAAGGAGUUAGGCUGGAAGCAUGUACUGAGGGAGGUGAUGAGGAUCUGGCUUGCACAGCUGCCUUUGCAAAGGGUCAAGACAAUCUCACACAGGGCACAACUCUGUUAGUUUUGUUCUGAUCUUUUAUAUAUUUUUUUAAGAGCAUUAGCUCGUUUCUGAAAAUGAUAUUCUGUUGUGUGUGAGAGAGGAGAACAGGCCAGUCCAAAGGGAAACAGUGCAGAGCAUCGGCUACAAGCCUAAAUAAAUACCACGGUCUGAAGAUGCCUGGCUCAAUUUUGUUUUACAGAGUUUUAUUUCAUGAAUCUUUCCCUUUCAUUAUUAACCAUUCACAGCUGCUAUAUGCUGAAUAAUAAUCAGAAUGUAUUCGUUGUUCGUAAUAAAAGUUCAUAUUUCUUGUAGAAAUGGUAUAAUUGGUGAUCAGGAUGUAUACUUAUCCUAAAGUUACCAUGGCUUUCUAAGUAUAAGCAUAGUUCUCACAUGCCCUGUGUUCAGGGCAACGUGUUUGUUCAGCUUUGGAGGUGGGUUGAGGUGGUGGAGCAGAAAUGCUAAGUCACAGCCUGAAGGAGUGAUUGGGCACCUGGUGUGAAGGCAGGGCCAACCCAGGAGAGCUCAGGUGCAUGCAAUGCAAUGCUGGCAAUGAAGCCAGGAUCCACCCCUUCCCAGACCUAUUUAAAGGUUGGCAGUGAAGCAAGGGUAGCUCACUAGAGGUUCCUACCUAUUAGAGGCCUUCUGGAGAUGUUGGUCCUUAUCCUGGUGUAUGAGCAUGAAAGCCCACAAACAACAUUUGGUUCAGCAAUGCCCCAAAUUUCCAUUUGUUCACCCCUUGGAAUUAGAGAAGCACAAACUGGUCCCCCUGUGUUUCAUACAAGGUAACUGCAGCUGGAUGAGUGCCUGCUGUUUUGGUGGAGGAGCAAGCUCUUGCAAACCAUUUCAAGGAGAGUGAGUUGGAAAGAUCCUAUUAAUUCAGACACUGCCUCUGGAAAAAAAAACAACGCUACUUCAUCAUGAUUGUCACAUUACAGGUGUGCUCCCAAUGGCUGCUGAACAACACUCUGACGCCAGUGCCUGCAUGAGGACCAGUGACACUCCUGUCAGCCAUGGGAGGGGACUGGAAUUGCUGAAUGGGUCCAUCUGCACUAGCUACCCCUACCUACCUGAAAGCCCCAAACCAUGAGGGGCAGCUGGUUACACUGCACAGUAUGGCACAAGCUAUUAGCCCCAAGUGUUUCCUGAGGCCUCUCUUCAUUUGGUGCACGGCAUGGCACAAGCCCUUUCCCAUGCAGUGUCUGAACUGAACCUUGUCAGCAGUGCCCAGGCUCUGAUCCUGACCCAGCCUGCACUGCAGCCCCUCUGCUGAACUAACCCGAGAUGAAAGGCGUCAAAUGACAGGAUACAGAGUGCUGAGAGCUGGCAGCAGAGGUUUCUUCUGCAGACAUCUUGCUGGUUGUUUUAAGGUCUUCUGCCUCUAAGUGGCACCAUGCUGAGUGAUUGAACACUUGCUAGAAUCUGUUCUACCUUUUAUUGCAAUGAUUUAUUACAGAGCUCCAAGUUCCUAAACUCUGAACAUUCACAAGCGCUGCCUGAAUGUCAGAGCCCUUUGGUCAGAAACACCAGAGCCUUCUGGAGUGAUGGUCUCGGUACUACAAAAUCCCUUUGGAAAGCCAUGGCUCUUGAACCAGCUCUGGGAAAGACUGAACUUUCAUUUUAAGAGAAGGCUCUCACAUCCCCAGCAUCUGUAAUGAGAGGUACUCAAAGUACAGCCAGGCAAAGCUUUCUCUGCUGUAUGUUUCCAGAGGAUUACCCUGAAUCCUACUCUUGCAUAGUCUGGUUUAUGGAUUUGUAUGUGCUUCAUAUAAUUAGGCUCAGUUUCUCUUUAUGUAGCUUCUGCUCUGAGAGCAGGACAUAGUUUGGAAGGGGGACGAACGAUGUCCCAGAAUGCUGUUUCUUAAAACAGAAGGAAGUGAUCUCCUCACAGUGCCACAAUGGGUUCAUGACACAAUAACAUUCAGACAUCCAAGCAUCUACUAUGAAAUCUGACUUUGCUUUAGUACAUAGAAGUCCUCACACAUUAUGCAGCAUUGAGGGCUGUCUUUCUUUCUUACUCUACCUUAAAAUACAGUAUGGUUUUCCUGUCCCUACAUGAUGAAACAAAAUCCACACCCCAAACUCCUCCAGCUCAAAACAACAAACCAGUGCAGCUCAGGAAAACUAUGGAUACUUUACUUUAAAAAAGCUUAAGAAAUGUACACCAUGAGAAAAGUUUUCCUGUAUCUGAGAGAAGGUUGUCAGGAUGGUAAUAUAGUACAGUGUGUAGUGAAGACUGGGAGAUUUAUGUGCCAAUUCUGUGUAUGAUUUAUUUAGACGAAUUGUUUUUUAUCAAUAUGUAAAAAUCCAAUAAAUAUAACUCCCUAUACAAAGGGUUGCUCCAGUCCCAAUGUUUCAGUGGACAGUUUUGGCAGAAAGUCAGGAUGUGCAUUAAAAACACACUUUUUGAGAAGUCUAAUAAAUAAAAGCUCUGAAAUAUGGCUUCCUACUGAGAAAGGCAUUUUAAAUCAUUUUGAUAAAGAACCUAAAUUAGGCCUUAAAAGGAGGGGGAAGUGAGGUCCCUGCAACUAAUUAUUUAUAGGUAUUUUGAAUAUAAAAGUCCAGGAAAGCCAGCCUCCAUCCCCCCAUUCUCUGCCAUAAUGAAGGGGAACAAAAAAAGCCAUUCCUCUUCUGCCUCCUACCCAAAUUAAAAGGCAGAAGUGUGAGAAAGGGGUCGAAGAAAACAAAAUUAAAAUGGGGAGCGGGCACCUGGCAAAAACAAGGAACUUCAUCAGGAGGCCUGGAAAAUAAACCUGCACACCUUCUCCCCAAAGCAGGGGUAGCAGGAGGGGAAAGGUCUUCACUUCUCAAGAGAAGUGGGUUGCUACUCACCCCAGGUCCAUGAACAGGGAAUACAGUGGUGUUUGCUAAGUACCACAGGGAGUGUUUUUAGAAGUGAAUAAACAUUUGAAUAGCCAUAGUGUCUCUGAAAGUCAAAGCAAUUUGGAGAUGGCAUAGAAGUCAAAACUGCUGGGGACUUGCUUUGGUUUUUGAAUCACUUCAGUGCUUCUGGACGUGUUAGCCCAAAAAUGUAGCUGACAUUUGGCCUGUGUACAGCCACACACAGGCCUUACCUUUAGAGGAUUUACAGCGUGGGGACCUGCUAACACUUGCAGCAGAACCAGUGGGGCUGGAGAAGGGCUUGUGUGUUUAAGUGGAAGAGUCUGUGGCUCCACAGCAGUAACUGACAGUGCCCCGUUUUGGAUCUCCAGCCAAGCCCAGCGUCUCAGGUGCAGUUCACAAGGCUCAAGGCUCUGAAUGGGAAGGCUGAGAAAUGAGAGAUUAAUGCAUGGGAGCACAGUGUGUGUGCUGGAGAAUUUUCUGCUAUGGUGGUUGUGCCUAUCAGGCUUCCUACUGAACUUACUGCUAUUCAUCUUACAGACAUCUAGAAUUUCCCUCCCUGUUUCUCAGCUUCACCUUGUACUCCCUUCUGCCUCCAGGCACAUGCCUCUCUUGUCCCUGCACAAGGGCCAUUCAUUCUCCUCUGCUCCAUCAGGAGUGCUUCCCUCUGAGUUCGGGCUCAUCCCUCUCCUUAUAUCUGACCUUCAGAUCUUCCUUCUCACUGCAGAGCCUCAGUAAGGUGUACUACAGUAAGGGCCACUGCAGGCUGCUAGUAGAUAGCAAUAGGGAAGAGAAACGCAGACCUCAGAAAAUUAAGAGCUGGAAUUUAACAGCGUGGGUCCACGUCUACCUUUGGCCUGGCUCUGUGCUGUCAUUUCAUCGGACACAAGAGCAAAAAACCUGCCAAAAAAACACCACGUUCAUUUGUGUCAUAAGAACUUAACCACAGGCUUCUGCCACCUUCAACAUAACCAAAAUCCAGCAGCCCUAAUGAUUUCCCCACCCAAUUCACCGUGAAUGAAUAUUCAGACAAACGUCAGGGGCUGUCAUUUCCCAAAUGAAGGCAAUCCACAUUCAUCUACAUCUGGAACACCUCACAAUGUUGUGCUUCUGACCAACUGGUGGUGAAUUUUAAGCUGAAAUGAAAGGAAGAGGUAGAAGGCGACGCCUGAGUGUCUCUUGAAAAACAUCAAAAUGUAUUUUCUUUUCAGUCCCUAAAAAAAAGGAUCUGAUUAUUUAGGGAUCCUUUCCUCUUCACUUCAUUAUCAUUAGCUUAGCAGCGCUGGGUUAUCUAAUUACUCAGCUAGAGCUGGAAACUGCAUUUUCAUGUAAUAAGGUGUAAGAGGACUAGGCUGUCUAGCUUAGUAGUCAGUACUUAAAGAACAGCUGUAAAGAGCAGAGUCAGGAAGGCUGCAGCACGAGAGGAAAUCCUCAGUAGAAUUCAAGUGCUUUACAUCUGUCAUAAACAUACUUCCAGAUCAAAUUAAAGGAAUUUCUUUUAACUGUAUUCACAGGCUCCAAACACUCCACACAACAAGCAGCCUGAGAUCUUAGUCAUUCUGAGACAUGAAUCAUUCCCCUUGUCAUCUGGCUGUUCUCUGCUGACUGCUAAUUCGCUGUAUAUUGAUUUUAAGACUCUGUUAACACAUUAUAUUUUUGUGUUAAGCCAGGAAAGCUUUUCUUGCUGAAAAAAUCACGUCCCAUCCUCGUUCCUCACCAUAUUCAGUUUCGUUCCUUCUCAUUUAUUUAGAACGACUGAUCAACGCCAUUUAAUCAGCUUUAAGUGGCUCUGUGAAUUGUUCCACGCUAUUGUAACCACCUACAUUUUUUUCCUACCAGCACUUAACAUCACAACAUGAAUUCUUCAUUCUGGACUGGUGCGUCCACCUACUCAUGCAAAAACUUAGCAGACCAAGUGAAUGUUGGGGUAACACCCUGAGAUUCUGCAAUUCAACUGCUCAGAGAAAUGACUUGUUACCUAAAGGAAGAACUGCAAACACGGAUCACAGGAACGAUACUGGCAUUUUUUCCACACUGAUUUGAAACAGGUCAAGGCUUUAAAAAACUCCUGUAUUAAACUGUGCUGUUGCAGCUGGCGAUUAAAAUUUACAGUGAAUUAGAUAAUAAA
Non-coding RNA from Coturnix japonica (Japanese quail), 5235 nucleotides. Lineage: Eukaryota; Metazoa; Chordata; Aves; Galliformes; Phasianidae. The record is from RefSeq and is a predicted model, not a curated record.